CGGAAGGAUCAUUAUUGAAAUUAUAGGCAAAGGUUGUAGCUGGCCUCUCGGGGCAUGUGCACGCCUGAGCCCCUUAAUCCACACACACCUGUGAACCAAUUGUAAGGGCCCCCUGAAAAGGGCCUUUACGUCUUAUYCAUCAACCCAUUGCAUGUCUCAGAAUGUAAACAUAUGYCCUCGCCUUAAAAAGCGUUGAUAAACUUAUACAACUUUCAACAACGGAUCUCUUGGCUCUCGCAUCGAUGAAGAACGCAGCGAAAUGCGAUAAGUAAUGUGAAUUGCAGAUUUUCAGUGAAUCAUCGAAUCUUUGAACGCACCUUGCGCUCCUUGGUAUYCCGAGGAGCAUGCCUGUUUGAGUGUCAUUAAAUUCUCAACUCCGAUCGAUUUGUUUCGACCUCGGAGCUUGGACUUUGGAGUGUGCUGGCGUCGGUCGGCUCCUCUCAAAUGCAUCAGCGGAAUCUAACGUUUCGGACGUCAGUGUGAUAAUCACGUUGCGCUGUCAACCGAUCCUGAAAGGCCYGCUCAUAAUGGUCUUCGGACAACUUCAUAUCAAAUUUGACCUCAAAUCAGGUAGGACUACCCGCUGAACUUAAGCAUAUCAAUAAGCGGAGGA
Molecule: ribosomal RNA, 613 nt
Filed under: uncultured fungus
Lineage: Eukaryota; Fungi
Description: eukaryotic LSU rRNA
Rfam family: 5.8S ribosomal RNA (bases 208-362)
Source: RNAcentral